AUUUAAAUAGCUUAUAAAAUAUAGAGUAUAAUAUUGAAGAUAUUAGGGAGAUAGAAUUUAUCUUUAAAUA
This 70-nucleotide transfer RNA is filed under the name Lygephila dorsigera. RNAcentral describes it as "tRNA-Phe". Lineage: Eukaryota; Metazoa; Arthropoda; Insecta; Lepidoptera; Erebidae. The record is from RNAcentral.